AAGUCGUAACAAGGUUUCCGUAGGUGAACCUGCGGAAGGAUCAUUAACACGUAUCCAAACGUUAAAACUUCCCCCGUGAACAUUCAAUCCUGCUCUUGUAACCCGCGGCGCUUGCUGAAAAUUGGAACAGUUACAAUUCGAGCGGUAGGUUUAUAGGCCUUGUUUCCCCAAGCAGUCAGUGUCUGAAAGCGUCAUUGAUUGUGCAAGGAUAGCGCUUCACGAUUCCUGUAGACCGUACACUCGGGCAGGAGCUAGGCCAAAGGGUCACCAUGCCCCCUUACAACCCCACAGUUUAUUGCAAAGCUCAAUGUAAUACAUUGGGUAAAAAAACUUGAACAACUGUUAACAAUGGAUAUCUUGGUUCUC
Molecule: unclassified non-coding RNA, 366 nt
Filed under: fungal sp.
Lineage: Eukaryota; Fungi
Description: partial internal transcribed spacer region
Rfam family: Eukaryotic small subunit ribosomal RNA (bases 1-46)
Source: RNAcentral